GGUCCCAUGCUGUAAUGUUUAGCACUCUGGACUCUGAAUCCAGCGAUCCGUGUUCUAAUCUCGGUGAGACCU
Non-coding RNA from Nematostella vectensis (starlet sea anemone), 72 nucleotides. The record is from Rfam. Lineage: Eukaryota; Metazoa; Cnidaria; Anthozoa; Actiniaria; Edwardsiidae.